UGAGAUAUGUUAAAGAUUUAUCGGUAUAAGAUGGGCAUGCGUCUGAUUAGCUAGUUGGCGGUGUAACGGACCACCAAGGCGACGAUCAGUAGGGGUUCUGAGAGGAAGGUCCCCCACACUGGCACUGAGAUACGGGCCAGACUCCUACGGGAGGCAGCAGUAGGGAAUAUUGGGCAAUGGUCGGAAGACUGACCCAGCCAUGCCGCGUGCAGGAAGACGGCCCUCUGGGUUGUAAACUGCUUUUAUCUGGGAAGAAAAAGGCCAUGCGUGGCAAAUUGCCGGUACCAGAUGAAUAAGCACCGGCUAACUCCGUGCCAGCAGCCGCGGUAAUACGGAGGGUGCAAGCGUUGUCCGGAUUUAUUGGGUUUAAAGGGUGCGUAGGCGGCUGAAUAAGUCAGCGGUGAAAGACUCCGGCUUAACCGGAGCAGUGCCGUUGAUACUGUUUAGCUUGAGUUCUGCAGGGGUACAUGGAAUUGAUGAUGUAGCGG
Molecule: ribosomal RNA, 488 nt
Filed under: Algoriphagus sp.
Lineage: Bacteria; Pseudomonadati; Bacteroidota; Cytophagia; Cytophagales; Cyclobacteriaceae
Description: bacterial SSU rRNA
Rfam family: Bacterial small subunit ribosomal RNA
Source: RNAcentral